AUUGAACGCUGGCGGCAGGCCUAACACAUGCGAGUCGAGCGGAUGAAGGGAGCUUGCUCCUGGAUUCAGCGGCGGACGGGUGAGUAAUGCCUAGGAAUCUGCCUGGUAGUGGGGGAUAACGUCCGGAAACGGGCGCUAAUACCGCAUACGUCCUGAGGGAGAAAGUGGGGGAUCUUCGGACCUCACGCUAUCAGAUGAGCCUAGGUCGGAUUAGCUAGUUGGUGGGGUAAAGGCCUACCAAGGCGACGAUCCGUAACUGGUCUGAGAGGAUGAUCGGUCACACUGGAACUGAGACACGGUCCAGACUCCUACGGGAGGCAGCAGUGGGGAAUAUUGGACAAUGGGCGAAAGCCUGAUCCAGCCAUGCCGCGUGUGUGAAGAAGGUCUUCGGAUUGUAAAGCACUUUAAGUUGGGAGGAAGGGCAGUAAGUUAAUACCUUGCUGUUUUGACGUUACCAACAGAAUAAGCACCGGCUAACUUCGUG
This 484-nucleotide ribosomal RNA is filed under the name uncultured bacterium. RNAcentral's name for it is "partial 16S ribosomal RNA". It matches the Rfam family "Bacterial small subunit ribosomal RNA", at positions 30 to 507 of the family's 1533-position model. The record is from RNAcentral.